GAGAGGAAAAGCAGUCACGGGCUGAAAGUGGGGGCAAAAAGCAGCUGCAGGGUGGGAGGCCCAGGGUGGUGAGCUCGCAGCCCAGGGAUGAGCGGGGAGACAGCCCCCAGCUUCACCUGAGGUGACUUUAGAGCUGCUGGGAAUGGGGCUGGCUUGUCCUGCGGUGACAACGCCCGGCUCAGGGUGACCCAGGGUCACCAUAGACACCACCCGUGCAGUUCCAGGAACCGGCUCGCAGUGGCACAGAGUUACUGUCAUUAACACACCUGAGGCUUAAAAAGUCACAGGUGUUGCGAAAGAGGCGCUUUCUGCUGCGCAGAGCCACCCUGACUCAAAAUACACACGCCUGCGGGGCUGCGGCAGGGCAUGUCACGACGACGGGGACUGUGGCUCCAGCAGGGUCACAAGCGGGUGGCACAGCCCGGGUGCUCCUUCAGGGCUGCAGGAGCACCAGAGGAACCAGCCCGAGCCAGGGGAACCUGCGCUGCCAGGGCGGGGAGGGAGGGAAGGCUGUGCCGCUGCUAAGAGACGGGGUAAACACAGCCGGGGCUGGAGCGGGGCUGACUCAGGCAUCGAUCCGCUUGAGCUCCUCGGAGUUAUCUCGGAAUUAUCCUCUGAAACAGCUCCUUGUACGAGAAACCCCCGAGGAUGGGCGGGCAGUGCUGUGAGGCCGGGCUCGGUGGGUGGGGGUGGGCUGGAGCCCAGAGCCCCCUCGGGAGGGCUCAGGUGGGCUCUGCCGCUGUCUGCUCCGUGUUUUUUCCAGCCGUGCCCCAGAACACCUUUGGGAAGGUGUUUCUGCUGUGCUGAGCCUGCUCCUGCCAGCCCCAGUGAGAUCUUCUCUUUUGCUGCUGCUUCUGGGCUCUGCCAGCACAGCACCAUCACCUGCGGUAAUCUCCCGAGCAUCUCCACUGCGGGUGAGUCACCUGCGGCGCUGCUGUCACCAAACAGCUUAUCAGAAGUGAACGGACUGAUUUUUCCUGCUCCUCCUGAUGAUAAGAGGAUCCACGGCCACCCCGCUCUUUGUCCGGCUCUUCCGCGUUGCGCUGGGUUGUUGUCAAAGCCAGCUUCGAGAGCUGAUUGCCAAGAGACGCUCUGCUUUGGGACUUGGAGACGAUCAAGUAGAGCUUUGGACCAGUGGGCCAGGACUGGUGCCCAGCCUCGCUGCAGGGAGGCAGCCGUGUCACCAGAGAGGGGGACAGCCAGGACGUGCCAGGCUCCAGCACAGAGGGCUCAGCAGCAG
This is a long non-coding RNA of Passer montanus (Eurasian tree sparrow), 1240 nucleotides long. RefSeq lists it as uncharacterized. The record is from RefSeq and is a predicted model, not a curated record. Lineage: Eukaryota; Metazoa; Chordata; Aves; Passeriformes; Passeridae. The transcript is spliced from 4 exons.